This is a long non-coding RNA of Gallus gallus (chicken), 2130 nucleotides long. Lineage: Eukaryota; Metazoa; Chordata; Aves; Galliformes; Phasianidae. The record is from Ensembl.
GGGGAACUAGGUUUUAGCAAUUGAAAAACAUAAAUGACUUUAAUUAUAUGGAAAGAACGAGGAUUGUUUUCCUAGAAUGCAUCGGAAUGAGUAGAAACAGUAAUUGAGCAAAUGAAUUCCGAUAGAGGCAUAAUUGAUACUUGAAAACUCAAAUAAUAAUCUACAUUACUUCAACUGCGAUAACUUACAGGAGGGAAUUCUUAACAAUGCUUUCUAACAGUUAAUCUUGGUCAGGUUCUCAUCCUUCCAAAUAAAUCUCUUUGGAGUUAAAGCUAUAUUUUGGAAAUUAAUGACUUCUUCCAUGUGAGGCUAUCCUCAGAAGCCGACCAAAUUCUGAUAAAUCUAUAAAGCAAACUACGUUCUUUUCACUGGGAUCUGGAAGAGGAUGACAUUUAUGUAAUGGAUGAGUUUUGUGCCGUCCCCAGGAAAAUAAUCUCGUAUUUUACUAAGCUAUAGUCUGCAGAAAAAUUGCUGCUUUCAUACGCUUAAUAAAGACUCACUGAAACAUCUCACAGAAAUCCCUGAGGAUCAUCUCUGCAGUGAGCCCUGCUGGAAGUCUGAGGAGGGAAUGGUGAUGGGCCUGGGCAGCAGAAGAGCAGCACCAAGCCCUGCUCCUCCAGCUGAUGGCCUGAAGGCAAAUGGACAGGGAAGGAGGGGUUGGAGACCCUUCAAGAAGGAUGUGAGAGGGAUUUAGUGAAGUGACCGCGUGGGACCAGUGGGAACUGGGAAGAGCCUUUGGAGAUCCCCAGCAAGGGCUGGGUUUGGCCGACAGUUCAGGCAGCCAUGAAUUCAUGGUGAUGGAGGAGCCUUUGCUUUCCAAGGAUUAUCGCUGUCUGCCUUACAGCCUUCAAGUCCUGGCCCAGAGAGCCCCAGGGUAGGAGAUGCUGCACAGCACAAGCCAAAAGGUCUGCAUUUACCCCUGAAAUAUUUGCCAUCAAAGACUGAUCUCACAGCAAACCGAGUUGCCCAAUGCUGAGGAUGUGGGUCUGUCAGCUUCCUAUCUAACCAAAGGCUCAACACUGUGAUUCUGGGCUGUGUCGGUGCCAUCAGGUGCAGGUGAGAGGCAGCACAUCCAUCCUGAGACCUAGAAAACAGGUUCAGAAUGCAUCCACUCAUCUUCCAGACCUCUGGAUGACCAUCCAUCAUGACCGUCGUCUCCAGCCUUGUCUUAUGACACAGCUUGCCAGAAAACCUGGCAGCCCUUCCAUGGCCAACAGGAUGACCUUGUGGUGCUCAUAGGACAGGGCAUGGGACAGCUCAGCCUUCUGCUCCCAGUCCUUCAGAAAUCCUGGAUCAGCGCUGAGCACUAAUUAAGGAAUGUUUGAACUUUAAAGCAGUUUCCUAUAUCAGCUGAUGUUGUGUUUCAGCUGCUGAAGUCCCAGGGCCAGAUUAAAACAUCUGCCACGAGAAAUAAAAGGUCACUAAAUCUGAACCUUUCACCUCUGUGUCCGGGGGAUGAGAAAGAACAUAUUGAGCGAUGCAGUUGCUAAGAUGUUCUUAAAUUUCUUUUAGCCCCAGGGAAGCUUUGGGGACCUGUGAUAUACCUAAACAAUGGAGAUUUAUGGGGAAAAGUCUGUCCAUCAGCAUUUCUCACUGCACACACAGCCUUUGCCAGCUCCACGUAAAGGUGCAGCCCCACCUCAGGAAGGAGCUGUCUACCACCAACAGAAAUUCUUCAGUUGCCUCUGUUGGAGGGGAAGGUGAAAAUGUGAAGCCCAACUGUGGAGCUGCCACAGGGCUGAAGAUGCCCACUGGGAUGUUAUGUGAAGUAGCAAUAGCAACCAGGACUUUGCAAAACUACUGCAGGCCAGUCAGAAUUUACAUAGGCUGGAGACAGCAACCAUCAAUGUCUGCAGGGUGGAGGAGCUCUGAUAGAUAUUGUUUGUGUGCUUACCAAGUUUCUUCAGGGCACUGAGAUUCCAUCCUUGUGGCUCAGUAUUUCCCUCUCCAGUGGGACUGUGAGUGCCUGCAGACAGAGAACAGGGCCCUGGCUGAAUCACAAAGGCCAGGAACGAGUGAAAAUACCCUUGGCAACCAUUGGGCCUUUUUCCAAGUGCCUGCUGGAGGUGAAGAGAUAAAGUUUCUUGCAAUACGCUAACAAUGCAAGCAUCCAGUUGCUCAGAGAAAAAG